ACCAGUGAGUGGCGGACGGGUGAGUAACACGUAGGUAACCUGCCCCGGAGCGGGGGAUAACAUUUGGAAACAGAUGCUAAUACCGCAUAACAACAAAAGCCACAUGGCUUUUGUUUGAAAGAUGGCUUUGGCUAUCACUCUGGGAUGGACCUGCGGUGCAUUAGCUAGUUGGUAAGGUAACGGCUUACCAAGGCGAUGAUGCAUAGCCGAGUUGAGAGACUGAUCGGCCACAAUGGAACUGAGACACGGUCCAUACUCCUACGGGAGGCAGCAGUAGGGAAUCUUCCACAAUGGGCGCAAGCCUGAUGGAGCAACACCGCGUGAGUGAAGAAGGGUUUCGGCUCGUAAAGCUCUGUUGUUGGAGAAGAACGUGCGUGAGAGUAACUGUUCACGCAGUGACGGUAUCCAACCAGAAAGUCACGGCUAACUACGUGCCAGCAGCCGCGGUAAUACGUAGGUGGCAAGCGUUAUCCGGAUUUA
RNAcentral lists this ribosomal RNA (480 nucleotides) under Limosilactobacillus reuteri. RNAcentral describes it as "bacterial SSU rRNA". It matches the Rfam family "Bacterial small subunit ribosomal RNA", at positions 87 to 553 of the family's 1533-position model. Lineage: Bacteria; Bacillati; Bacillota; Bacilli; Lactobacillales; Lactobacillaceae. The record is from RNAcentral.